GAUGAACGCUGGCGGCGUGCCUAAUACAUGCAAGUCGAGCGAACAGACGAGGAGCUUGCUCCUCUGACGUUAGCGGCGGACGGGUGAGUAACACGUGGUUAACCUACCUAUAAGACUGGGAUAACUUCGGGAAACCGGAGCUAAUACCGGAUAAUAUAUUGAACCGCAUGGUUCAAUAGUGAAAGACGGUUUUGCUGUCACUUAUAGAUGGAUCCGCGCCGCAUUAGCUAGUUGGUAAGGUAACGGCUUACCAAGGCGACGAUGCGUAGCCGACCUGAGAGGGUGAUCGGCCACACUGGAACUGAGACACGGUCCAGACUCCUACGGGAGGCAGCAGUAGGGAAUCUUCCGCAAUGGGCGAAAGCCUGACGGAGUAACGCCGCGUGAGUGAUGAAGGUCUUCGGAUCGUAAAACUCUGUUAUUAGGGAAGAACAAAUGUGUAAGUAACUAUGCACGUCUUGACGGUACCUAAUCAGAAAGCCACGGCUAACUACGUG
RNAcentral lists this ribosomal RNA (497 nucleotides) under uncultured bacterium. RNAcentral describes it as "partial 16S ribosomal RNA". It matches the Rfam family "Bacterial small subunit ribosomal RNA", at positions 28 to 507 of the family's 1533-position model. The record is from RNAcentral.